CGGACGACACGGCGCUACUACGUGCAGCUCCGACGGGCGCAGCGUCCCGCCACACUCACCCCGAGCACGCCGCACAAUGGCGCCCGUCGGCCCGCGGCGAAGUGCGUCAGCCCGGAGUCCGCACUACAACUCCCAGAAGCCCCCGCGGCGCGCCUCAAGCGGCCGCGCCCUCACCGCGGCCAUCUUGACCCGCCCGUCCGGGCGGCGGGCGAAGCCGGAAAGAUGGAACACAUCCUGACCUGGGCUUGCUGCUCAUUUAAUGAGUAACUGAGUGUUUUUCACAUUUGGCAGAGGUACCCAUAACCAGGAAGGGAAAGCCCAAGUCUGUUGCUUUCUGUAUGUAUGCUGUAUGCACAUCUUCCAUGUCCUUCCAGAGCAACAGUGUACUCUUUUGUCUUUCUCAUAGAUGAUUGUCUCCUAUUCUUUUCCUGAGGUGUCUUGUCUUCUUUGGGCGACAGGAAAAUGUUGAACUGGCUAGUGUGACAUGUUAAAUAAUCAUGUUUACUAACAUUUUUGUUUCGAAUAAGUAUGCUGUGGAAAACUGAUUCAUGAGACAUACCUUAAUGUAAUUGCAUACUUUUAGCACAUUAAGUACAAUAUUUAGUAUAAUUGUAAAAAAGCAUGAUUUCUGAAUAAAUGUUAACUGUUAUACA
Molecule: long non-coding RNA, 653 nt
Filed under: Urocitellus parryii (Arctic ground squirrel)
Lineage: Eukaryota; Metazoa; Chordata; Mammalia; Rodentia; Sciuridae
Description: lncRNA (ENSUPAG00010006393.1)
Source: RNAcentral